AAGGCUUAAGAGGUGAGGGUGAGAAAACAAAUCGUAUAAAACGAGAGAGAAACGGCGAAGGAAAGUCAGUCGAGUGAGCAUCUCCGACACGGCAACAGUUGCAAUUCCUCCGUCGUAUACCAGUUCACAAUCAUGGUAAACUAUGUCGUCUUGCUGCGCUGCUGCAAUUGGUUAUUGUAUCGUCGAUCAAGGGUUUAUCGAUGUCUCCUGGGUAUGGUGAACAUCAAGAAAUAGCAGCGAAAGAAUACUAUACCACGUCGCCUCCUUACUAAACAACAACGUAAUCACCUACUUACAAUUCGAAGGCCUCCAAGUACUACACCACCAAGGCUCCUGAGUAUUAAACUCCAAUCUACGUUGCUCCAGCUUAGGAAAUGGUCUAGUUAACUAUGGGUCGUGCUGCUGUUGGGUGUUGUAUCGUUGAUGGCUGGGUCGACCACGUGUACCGAUGUCUUCUGGGUAUGUUGGUUACCUAACCGCAACGCCGCCGCCUUACUACACAACGAAGUCAACAUACGCAACAUUUAUUACUACGCCAAGGCCCCCAAGAACUACACGACUACACGAACUACACGACACUACACGAAGGCAGCGGAGUACUACACCACGAAGGCAGCGGAGUACUACACCACGAAGGCAGCGGAGUACUACACCACGA
Daphnia pulex (common water flea) is the source of this 658-nucleotide long non-coding RNA. RefSeq lists it as uncharacterized. Lineage: Eukaryota; Metazoa; Arthropoda; Branchiopoda; Diplostraca; Daphniidae. The record is from RefSeq and is a predicted model, not a curated record. The transcript has 3 exons.